Long non-coding RNA from Diachasma alloeum, 483 nucleotides. RefSeq lists it as uncharacterized. The transcript has 5 exons. Lineage: Eukaryota; Metazoa; Arthropoda; Insecta; Hymenoptera; Braconidae. The record is from RefSeq and is a predicted model, not a curated record.
CUCGGUCGCGGGCGGUGGAGGUCUUAAGGACUACCGCCGCCCGCGGUCGCUAAGAGGAGCCCACCCAAUCCACGUGUAAGAUAUAGCAGUUUUCACGACUUAUUCUCAUUUCUCAUUUUAUCCCUUCGUAUUGCAUUUUCUGAGGGGCGAAUGUAAAUUUCAUCUUCGUCAUCGUCAAUCUCUAAUGAUGCCAAUGGAACUACAGGUGAUGAUCCCACAUUUACCUUGACUCCUUCAACUACCCUCCAAAUGUAUAAUAAUGAAAUGCAAUCUCGGUUAAUAUCAAUUGUUGGAGUCGUUGAUCAAAUCUUUCUGGUCACUUCUACUGCUGGAGCUGUAGCUAAGACGAUUUUUAAUUGGACUGUGAAUAAUGGUGAUGGAGGAACAUGUUGAAUGUGUCGCGUGGAACAUCCAAGUUCAACGAAUUCAAUCUCACAUUGUUCUGGGAAAUUAGGUGCUGUUUCUGAAUACAGUUUUCAUGAA